GCUCUGCUCUGGACACAGGAAGCCAGGGACGCCGAUUGUGGUCCCAAUGCUGAUACUUGUUUGUUGAGCUCUCGUUAUAAAUAAAGAACAUCAAACGGGCCAACAACUCUCCGGUUUUUGUCUUUAUUUUUAUUUUUAUUUUUGUUUUUAUUUUUGUUUUUAUUUUUUUUUGCCCCGACAAAGUUCUUCGACCGCCCGUUGUCACAGACGAAAGUUGCAACUAUCCUCAAUUUGUCGGUUGCUGCAAACAGGAGCUCUCCCCCCAGAGAGCAAAGCCCGGAGGUUGAACUUACACCAGUGAUUUGUCUCGACUUCUCCUCAAGAAUCAAUUUAUGAACUAGUUAACGCCAAUUUAUUGAUUUGUGUGUGGUUUUUUUCUUUUUUCUUUUUUCUUUUUCUUUUCCUUCUUUUUUUGGCUUUUCGAUUCUCGAUUCUCGCCUGGAGAGCAAGGAUUUUUUCGGGGGAGGGGGAAAUUUUUCGUUAGCCCAGUUCGAUAUCUCGGCCCCAGGAUAAGAGCGAAAAUCCUUCUAGAAGUAUUUUCGAAGCGGGAACGGGGAGACGGCCAAGUUCCAACUCCUCGAGCUAGGAGAACUAGGAGACUGGGCGGGGUCAGGGGACACGGCGUGCUCAAUACCAGGCCAGCAGGGAAGCGAGUUUCAUCUGAGCCGCUUCUGCAUGCGCUACGCAAGUACUGGUACCCAGGAGAUACUCCGCACAUGAGCACCACCAGAAACUGCCUGAUGCGACCAUGGCUGGUUUCGGUCACAAAAACCAUGAUUACCAUCGGUCAUCGCAACGCCGACGUGGCCGUCGUUUUGGGUGGGCGCGCGGGCAUAUUCGGUGCUCUUGUCGUUGCUUGAAGGUGGUUAUUAUUAGAUACUACUGUCGUAGAUUCUGUCAUAGUUUAACAAACUACCA
RNAcentral lists this small RNA (918 nucleotides) under Histoplasma capsulatum. RNAcentral's name for it is "hypothetical RNA". Lineage: Eukaryota; Fungi; Ascomycota; Eurotiomycetes; Onygenales; Ajellomycetaceae. RNAcentral also lists the same sequence under 1 other name. The record is from RNAcentral.